Molecule: ribosomal RNA, 380 nt
Filed under: uncultured eukaryote
Lineage: Eukaryota
Description: partial 18S ribosomal RNA
Rfam family: Eukaryotic small subunit ribosomal RNA
Source: RNAcentral
CAAUAGCGUAUAUUAAAGUUGUUGCGGUUAAAAAGCUCGUAGUUGGAUUUCUGCUGAGAACGACCGGUCCGCCCUUUGGGUGUGUAUCUGGCUCUUUCUUGGCAUCUUCUUGGUGAACGUUGCUGCACUUGACUGUGUGGAGCGCUACCCAGGACUUUUACUUUGAGGAAAUUAGAGUGUUUCAAGCAGGCAUACGCCUUGAAUACAUUAGCAUGGAAUAAUAAGAUAGGACCUCGGUUCUAUUUUGUUGGUUUCUAGAGCUGAGGUAAUGAUUAAUAGGGAUAGUUGGGGGCAUUAGUAUUUAAUUGUCAGAGGUGGAAUUCUCGGAUUUGUUAAAGACUAACUUAUGCGAAAGCAUUUGCCAAGGAUGUUUUCAUUAA